CAGUCGAACGGUAACGCGGAGAGAAGCUUGCUUCUCCCCGGCGACGAGUGGCGACCGGUUGAGUAAUACAUCGGAACGUGUCCGCUCGUGGGGGACAACCAGCCGAAAGGUUGGCUAAUACCGCAUGAGUUCUACGGAAGAAAGAGGGGGACCCGCAAGGGCCUCUCGCGAGCGGAGCGGCCGAUGACUGAUUAGCCUGUUGGUGAGGUAACGGCUCACCAAAGCAACGAUCAGUAGCUGGUCUGAGAGGACGACCAGCCACACUGGGACUGAGACACGGCCCAGACUCCUACGGGAGGCAGCAGUGGGGAAUUUUGGACAAUGGGCGCAAGCCUGAUCCAGCUAUUCCGCGUGUGGGAUGAAGGCCCUCGGGUUGUAAACCACUUUUGUAGAGAACGAAAAGACACCUUCGAAUAAAGGGUGUUGCUGACGGUACUCUAAGAAUGAGCUCCGGCUAACUACGUGCCAGCAGCCGCGGUAAUACGUAGGGAGCAGGCGUUGUCCGGAUUUACUGGGUGUAAAGGGUGCGUAGGCGGCUUUGCAAGUCAGAUGUGAAAUCUAUGGGCUCAACCCAUAAACUGCAUUUGAAACUGUAGAGCUUGAGUGAAGUAGAGGCAGGCGGAAUUCCCCGUGUAGCGGUGAAAUGCGUAGAGAUGGGGAGGAACACCAGUGGCGAAGGCGGCCUGCUGGGCUUUAACUGACGCUGAGGCACGAAAGCGUGGGUAGCAAACAGGAUUAGAUACCCUGGUAGUCCACGCUGUAAACGAUGAUUACUAGGUGUGGGGGGUCUGACCCCUUCCGUGC
This 804-nucleotide ribosomal RNA is filed under the name uncultured bacterium. Its description in RNAcentral is "bacterial SSU rRNA". It matches the Rfam family "Bacterial small subunit ribosomal RNA", at positions 59 to 846 of the family's 1533-position model. The record is from RNAcentral.